RNAcentral lists this ribosomal RNA (468 nucleotides) under uncultured bacterium. RNAcentral's name for it is "partial 16S ribosomal RNA". It matches the Rfam family "Bacterial small subunit ribosomal RNA", at positions 28 to 507 of the family's 1533-position model. The record is from RNAcentral.
GACGAACGCUGGCGGCGUGCUUAACACAUGCAAGUCGAACGGAAAGGCCCUGCUUUUGUGGGGUGCUCGAGUGGCGAACGGGUGAGUAACACGUGAGUAACCUGCCCUUGACUUUGGGAUAACUUCAGGAAACUGGGGCUAAUACCGGAUAGGAGCUCCUGCUGCAUGGUGGGGGUUGGAAAGUGUCGGCGGUUGGGGAUGGACUCGCGGCUUAUCAGCUUGUUGGUGGGGUAGUGGCUUACCAAGGCUUUGACGGGUAGCCGGCCUGAGAGGGUGACCGGCCACAUUGGGACUGAGAGACGGCCCAGACUCCUACGGGAGGCAGCAGUGGGGAAUAUUGCACAAUGGGCGGAAGCCUGAUGCAGCAACGCCGCGUGCGGGAUGACGGCCUUCGGGUUGUAAACCGCUUUCGCCUGUGACGAAGCGUGAGUGACGGUAAUGGGUAAAGAAGCACCGGCUAACUACGUG